CCGUCCUUAGCUCAGCCUGGUCAGAGCGGUCGGCUGUAGGGGUCUUACCCUCUUUAACCCGUUAGUACGGGAGGCCGCAGUUACCGACAGGUCCCCGGUUCGAAUCUGGGAGGACGGA
RNAcentral lists this transfer RNA (118 nucleotides) under uncultured Poseidoniia archaeon. RNAcentral's name for it is "uncultured Candidatus Thalassoarchaea euryarchaeote tRNA-Tyr". It matches the Rfam family "tRNA". From Rfam's summary of the family: Transfer RNA (tRNA) molecules are approximately 80 nucleotides in length. Their secondary structure includes four short double-helical elements and three loops (D, anti-codon, and T loops). Lineage: Archaea; Methanobacteriati; Thermoplasmatota; Candidatus Poseidoniia. The record is from RNAcentral.